RNAcentral lists this long non-coding RNA (1279 nucleotides) under Sus scrofa (pig). RNAcentral's name for it is "lncRNA (ENSSSCG00055009848.1)". Lineage: Eukaryota; Metazoa; Chordata; Mammalia; Artiodactyla; Suidae. The record is from RNAcentral.
ACUGGCAGGCUGACCGCUUCUGUUGAGGACCAUAUGAGGUGUUCUCCAGGGAGGCUGCAGACGGCUUGUGGGGGACUUGGAUUCUGUUAGGAGUAGGCACAGGGGACAAGAUCCAAGGAAAGAAGAUGGAUGGAUGGAUGAAUAACUGGUGGUUCUAGAUGGUGAGUUGGUUUCAUGGGGACAAGCCCAUUGCUGUACUUUCCAUCCUGUGGAAUGAGUUCCUUGACCAGAAGCAAUGCCGUGCAGAACUGUCAUGGUGGAUAAGACAUUCUGUGAGUCUAAGAACGGUAGUGCUUGCAGCCAUGUCGUGAACAGGAAAGGCAAAUUCAUAUCCAGAACAUGUGUCUGCUCCAGUGAGGGUAGAUCCUGCCACCUCCAUUACGAAGUGGUCUGAUGGCUGCUCCUGUGGCAUAUGCAGGUUCCCAGUCUAGGGGUCGAAUCAGAGCUGUAGCCACUGGCCUACACCAGAGCCAUAGCAACGCGGGAUCUGAGAAGCAUCUGUGACCUACACCACAGCUCACGUCAACACUGGAUCCUUAACCCACUGAGCAAGGCCAGGGAUCGAACCUGCGACCUCAUGGUUCCUAGUCGGAUUCAUUAGCCACUGCACCACGAUGGGAACGCCAACUGAAUGUUUUAAUAUGUUUUUUUAUCUCUGUUACUGGUUUAUUAGUUGUAUUUCAUAUUCAUAUUUUUAUGGGUUGCUCAAGCAUUUUUAGUGUACAGCUUUAUCAGUCUAUCUGUAGAUAAUACUAUGUUAGUACGAGAACUUUAUAACAGUAAAUUUCCACUUCCUCCAUUCUGCUUUAUGCAUUGUUUUCUUACAUUUUAAUUCUACAUGUAUUACAAACCCAACAUAUACUAUUAUUGUUUGUACUUUAAACAAUUACCCUAAAGAGUAAAAUAUGAAAAAAAAAUCAUGUUUAUCAUUCUACUACUUGUCUUUCUUUUGUGUUCAUACUAAUUUCCAUGUGUUAUCAUUUGCCUAUGCCCAAAGGACUUUACUCAAUAUUUUUUGCAGGGCAGGUGAAUUCUCUCUUCUUUUUCUGAAACAAUCUUUAUUGCUUCCAUUUUCAAGUAUUUCCACAGGGUAUAGAAUUCUGUGUUCAUAUUUUUAAAUUUCUUCUUUCUAUCCUUUAAAGAUGCUGGGAGAUUUUUGAUUACUUAUUCAAUCCCCUUACUAGUUACAGAUCUACUCAUAUUUUCCAUUUUCUCAUAUUGUUAAGAUGUCGAUACUACACAAAGCAAUCUACAGACUCAAAUAAAAUUCCUAUCAAAA